UCCUCGAUGGUCUAACGGUCAUGAUUUCCGCUUGUCACUCCUAUGAGAACGAGCGCGGGAGACCAGGGUUCGACUCCCUGUCGGGGAG
Molecule: transfer RNA, 88 nt
Filed under: Aspergillus udagawae
Lineage: Eukaryota; Fungi; Ascomycota; Eurotiomycetes; Eurotiales; Aspergillaceae
Description: Neosartorya udagawae tRNA
Rfam family: tRNA
About the family: Transfer RNA (tRNA) molecules are approximately 80 nucleotides in length. Their secondary structure includes four short double-helical elements and three loops (D, anti-codon, and T loops).
Source: Rfam by way of RNAcentral